UACGUAGGGGGCAAGCGUUGUCCGGAUUUACUGGGCGUAAAGAGCGUGUAGGCGGCCAAGCAGGUCCGUUGUGAAAACUGGAGGCUUAACCUCCAGACGUCGACGGAAACCGCGUGGCUAGAGUCCGGAAGAGGAGAGUGGAAUUCCUGGUGUAGCAGUGAAAUGCGUAGAGAUCAUGAGGAAGACCAGUGGCGAAGGCGGGUCUCUGGACAGUUCCUGACACUGAGGCACGAAGGCCAGGGGAGCAAACGGG
RNAcentral lists this ribosomal RNA (253 nucleotides) under uncultured bacterium. Its description in RNAcentral is "partial 16S ribosomal RNA". It matches the Rfam family "Bacterial small subunit ribosomal RNA", at positions 524 to 776 of the family's 1533-position model. The record is from RNAcentral.